Molecule: non-coding RNA, 109 nt
Organism: Picea glauca (white spruce)
Lineage: Eukaryota; Viridiplantae; Streptophyta; Pinopsida; Pinales; Pinaceae
Source: Rfam
UACAACAUAGCAUUAAUGCACCGAAUCCCAUUAGAACUCCACAGUUAAGCACGCUCAAGAUAUAGUAGUACUGGGAUGGGUGCCUUCCUGGGAAGUCCUAGUGUUUUAC